CGGGUGAGUAAUACAUCGGAACGUGCCCAGUAGUGGGGGAUAGCCCGGCGAAAGCCGGAUUAAUACCGCAUACGACCUAUGGGUGAAAGCGGGGGAUCGCAAGACCUCGCGCUACAGGAGCGGCCGAUGUCAGAUUAGCUUGUUGGUGGGGUAAAAGCCUACCAAGGCGACGAUCUGUAGCUGGUCUGAGAGGACGACCAGCCACACUGGGACUGAGACACGGCCCAG
RNAcentral lists this ribosomal RNA (228 nucleotides) under uncultured bacterium. Its description in RNAcentral is "partial 16S ribosomal RNA". It matches the Rfam family "Bacterial small subunit ribosomal RNA", at positions 103 to 334 of the family's 1533-position model. The record is from RNAcentral.